CUAGGACUUUUCUCAUAUUCUUUGUGAUAGGCAGCCUCUUUGUCCAUUUGCUCAAGUGACUGCACAGCCCGACUUGAGAGUUUGACUCCAGAAUGGUGGCACUUGUCGAUUGAUGAUGUCCCAAGGCCAUUGUUGAGUCUGUGAAUAGUCGAGGAAGCCCUCCCAAUCAUAUUCCUUGAAAAGUUUACAUUCUUUGGCAAAGAAAUACUCAGGGAUCGAUUGGCGGCUUCACAUUUCUGGGUGUCUGUGUAGAAUUUCAUUUGUUCAACAACUUCAACACUUAGCUUCAUUUUGAGAAUUUCAUGUAGUAAGUGUUUAUCGUUGUCAUCCAUGUUGAAAUGUGUAAUAUUGUUGCAGCCGAGGAACAUAGAGCGCUGCCACCAGCUGUUUGUUACACCUCCUCGACACACAACUGAGUACCGGGCACACCUGGAGCAGUCGCCGCUGUAGCACUUCAGGGUAGCUUCGAGCACUCGAGGUCAAGCUUGCUGGCUGAAGUAGGACGCAGAAGCAUCACUGAAGUAGAUAUACCUUCGCAGUCAGGCGUUGACAGCUGAGUUCCAACCAGCCUUGACUUGGUGACCAGGGAGAAGUCUUUUGCACUGAACCUAGUCACAGUCCUGGGUAUCUUGGGUGGAGAGGCACUUUCACACUCUUCUGAUUCAAGGAUUUCUUUUAGUCCUGAUAGGCCUCAGACCAC
Haliotis rubra (blacklip abalone) is the source of this 700-nucleotide long non-coding RNA. RefSeq lists it as uncharacterized. The record is from RefSeq and is a predicted model, not a curated record. The transcript is spliced from 3 exons. Lineage: Eukaryota; Metazoa; Mollusca; Gastropoda; Lepetellida; Haliotidae.